RNAcentral lists this ribosomal RNA (695 nucleotides) under uncultured phototrophic eukaryote. Its description in RNAcentral is "bacterial SSU rRNA". It matches the Rfam family "Bacterial small subunit ribosomal RNA", at positions 63 to 800 of the family's 1533-position model. The record is from RNAcentral.
CGUACGAGAGUUUAAACUCAAGUGGCGGACGGGUGAGUAACACGUAAGAAUUUACCUUUAGGAGGGGGACAACAGCUAGAAAUGACUGCUAAUACCCCAUAUGUUUUCGAAUGAAAUGGAUUUUUCCGCCUAGAGAGAAGCUUGCGGCUGAUUAGCUUGUUGGUGAGGUAAUGGCUCACCAAGGCGACGAUCAGUAUCUGGUUUGAGAGGACGAUCAGACACACUGGAACUGAGACACGGUCCAGACUCCUACGGGAGGCAGCAGUGGGGAAUUUUCCGCAAUGGGCGAAAGCCUGACGGAGCAAUACCGCGUGAGGGAUGACGGCCUAUGGGUUGUAAACCUCUUUUUUCAGGGAGGAAUAAAUGACGUGUACCUGAAGAAUAAGCAUCGGCUAACUCCGUGCCAGCAGCCGCGGUAAGACGGAGGAUGCAAGUGUUAUCCGGAAUCACUGGGCGUAAAGCGUCUGUAGGUGGUUUGAUAAGUCAACUGUUAAAUCUUGAGGCCCAACCUCAAAAUCGCAGUCGAAACUAUUAAACUAGAGUAUAGUAGGGGUAAAGGGAAUUUCCAGUGGAGCGGUGAAAUGCGUAGAGAUUGGAAAGAACACCGAUGGCGAAGGCACUUUACUGGGCUAUUACUAACACUCAGAGACGAAAGCUAGGGUAGCAAAUGGGAUUAGAUACCCUGGUAGUCCCCU